AAAGCAAACGUGCGUUUCCAAUUUGCGCGGAGCGUUUCAAUUCAUUCCAAUGAGACCGGAGCUUAACGCUCACGUGGUGCGUCAUGGGACCGACAGCAUGGCGGAAAAGGAGAUCUUCUUAACUUCAUGCAAGUAUCAAGAGGUGCAAUUUGGGCUUCACCAAUGAAGACGUGACACAGAUAGAAGGAAUAAACGGGGACGGGGGACUCCAUAAGCCUUGAGUCUUCUUCUGCUCCAAAAGCAAGCGUCUGGUGCUGGAGGAGAUGGUCGCCAGGGGGAAACAGGAUCCUGACUACGCUGAGCAACACUGAAAGGGCCUGGAGCAGAGACCGGGCGACCAGGGCCUUUCACAUUAGUUUAAACUGACACCUCUGCUCACCUCAAUGGAGGCGGCGCUGAAACUCACACCGCUGCCAGCCGGAUUCGCAAACCUGCUUGUGCGUGACUCUGGUUUGGAAGACCACUGCUGUGGUUUCCUACGGGUGAUCCAACAUGGGAUUUUAAGCACAAUAAACAAUCACAUUAAUGUUUUUUUCAGGGUUUAUUUUUGUGCCAGAUUGAAAGCUAAUAUUUUUAAUAUAAAAUGGGUUAACCAUGUGUUUGGACUGGAAGGCCAAAUAUGUAAAAAAUGUGUAAGGAUUAGCAGUUCGAUACUGUUGCGAAAAGCUCUAAAGACUUUAAAUAAAUAGAGUUG
Molecule: long non-coding RNA, 694 nt
Organism: Triplophysa dalaica
Lineage: Eukaryota; Metazoa; Chordata; Actinopteri; Cypriniformes; Nemacheilidae
Exons: 3
Source: RefSeq, a predicted model, not a curated record